GAUCCUGGCUUAGGAUGAACACUAGCGGCAGGCUUAACACAUGCAAGUCGAGGGGCAUCGGGAGUAGCAAUACUUGCCGGCGACCGGCGCAAGGGUGCGUAACGCGUGAGCAACAUGCCCGUAUCAGGGGGAUAAUCCAUGGAAACGUGGUCUAAUACCCCAUAGUAAUUAUGUAAGGCAUCUUAUAUAAUUUAAAGCUUUGGUGGAUACGGAUUGGCUCGCGUGACAUUAGCUAGAUGGUAAGGUAACGGCUUACCAUGGCUACGAUGUCUAGGGGUUCUGAGAGGAAGGUCCCCCACACUGGAACUGAGACACGGUCCAGACUCCUACGGGAGGCAGCAGUGAGGAAUAUUGGACAAUGGAUGGAAAUCUGAUCCAGCCAUGCCGCGUGCAAGGAAGACGGCCCUAUGGGUUGUAAACUGCUUUUGUAUGGGAGCAAUAAGGGCUACGCGUAGUCCGAUGAGAGUACCAUACGAAUAAGCACCGGCUAACUCCGUGCCAGCAGCCGC
RNAcentral lists this ribosomal RNA (509 nucleotides) under uncultured bacterium. RNAcentral's name for it is "bacterial SSU rRNA". It matches the Rfam family "Bacterial small subunit ribosomal RNA", at positions 15 to 518 of the family's 1533-position model. The record is from RNAcentral.